CAAGGUAAUCCAACGUGCGUCUUUAGCGUUGCCAUGGUUUCAUGUGUUUGUUUUCACAGAUCUAUGUAGUCAGUACACUAUUCCAGACCUUCAGCAGCCAGGUAUAUUUAGAGAUUUUUCCAUUAUCUGUUCAGGGGCAUGAAGCGAAGAAGGUUGCUAUUUAUCUGACUUUCCUCUUUUCUUCUUCUUUACUUUUUCCUUUUGUUUCCUUUUUUGCCGGCACAUCAACCAAUGGGAAAGCCUUGAUCUAAAUCCAAUGAAAGCACAACCUUUUAAGAAGACUGUCAUUAUACUUUCAAUUCCAUUAUGUUCUGGAAUGCCAUCCACUGGUCAAUGGCUUGUGGACUGAAAAAUAACCUCCUCGGCUUAUACUCGGGUGAGGGUCCUGGUGGGCUUAUAUUCAGGUAAAAGGUAAAGGUUUUCCCCUGACGUUAAGUCCAGUCAUGUCUGACUCUGGGGGUUGGUGCUCAUCUCCAUUUCUAAGCCGAAGAGUCAGCGUUGUCCACAGACACCUCCAAGGUCAUGGGGCCAGCAUGACUGCAUGGCGCACCGGUACCUUCCCGCCGGAGCGGUACCUAUUGAUCUACUCACAUUGGCAUGUUUUCGAACUGCUAGGUUGGCAGGAGCUGGAGCUAACAAUAAUUGUUAUUAUUAUGAAUACAUUUAUUAUUUUACUCUGUUUAUUAUUACAUUUAUUAUUUUACUGCAUUUAUUAUUAUUAUUACAGUAGAGUCUCACUUAUCCAAGCCUCUGGAUAAUCCAAGCCAUUUUUGUAGUCAAUGUUUUCAAUAUAUUGUGAUAUUUUGGUGCUAAAUUCAUAAAUACAGUAAUUACAACAUAAUAUUACUGCGUAUUGAACUACUUUUUCUGUCAAAUUUGUUGUAUAACAUGAAGUUUUGGUGCUUAAUUUGCAAAAUCAUAACCUAAUUUGAUGUUUAAUAGGCUUUUCCUUAAUCCCUCCUUAUUAUCCAAGAUAUUUGCUUAGCCAAGCUUCUGCCGGCCUGUUUAGCUUGGAUAAGUGAGACUCUACUGUAUUAGAUUUAUUAUUUCACUAUUAUUAAAAGGAUACAUAAGCACAUUUACAUUGAAGAAAAUGAAAAUAAUGAUUUAAUCAGAGUUGAACAGUCAUUACAGUUUGAUGUAAAGAUUCAAAAAAAUUUAAAAUGUAAUUUUAUUGGUGUCUCGGCUUAUACUGGAGUCAAUGUUUUCCCAGUUUUUUGUGGUAAAAUUAGGUGCCUCGGCUUAUAUUCGGGUCGGCUUAUACUCGAGUAUAUAUGGUAACUCUAUUGCAAUAGAGGUCUUCAGGCCCAAGAAUAUCAUAUCAUAUCAUUUCAAAUCAGGUAUAAAACCUAGAGACUAUUCACCGGACCCCUGCCAAGGAAUCCUGUUGCACCCAUUGCUCAUAUUUGACGGGAACGGAGCUAUUUUUAAUGCAACAGUUUAUGUUCUGUCAAGAUUUUUCCCUAGUUCUGCCUUAUGCCUUGAUGGUAAAGAACUUGCAAAUGCUCUUUGGUGACAAAUCUCGCCGGACCGUGAGGCUCCUGCUGGGUGUCUCUCCUCCCCUGCUGCGGCCACCAUUCACUCGGGGAAGUGCAGCCAAAAAAGUCACAAUAAUCUCCUUUGUCUUCAUUAUCGGGAACCUCUGUUCCGACAUUCGUUUUGAUGUAAGGCCAUUUACCUUAACUCUCAACUACAUUUAAUCUCAUUACAUUCACUGUCAUUACUUUAACAUCUUUAUUCCACUUGAAAGACUUUAAAGCUCCGGAGGAUUCCAUCACAGGGAGGGCAGAAUAUGCUUUAUUGAAUAGGGCCCUGUGUAAAUUCCAGAUAUGAUCGCACUAUCCAUUUUGAUGAGCCUGCUGCUACCAGCCCAUCUUAAUAGGGAAUUUAUGGCUCUUAUAUUAAAUGCAGGGAAAGGUUGGUUCUACUCUGUACAAAGGAAAACAAAGCUUAACAAUGUUCAAGAAAUUCUUUUAAUAAACCCUUUAAAAGUAAGUGUUCAGUAGAAGUGAAAGGCAUAAAUAUGCUUCAAAUGGAAUGGCAAUUAAUUAUUACAAAUAAACUUAAAACCUCA
Long non-coding RNA from Anolis carolinensis (green anole), 2074 nucleotides. RefSeq lists it as uncharacterized. The transcript has 3 exons. Lineage: Eukaryota; Metazoa; Chordata; Lepidosauria; Squamata; Anolidae. The record is from RefSeq and is a predicted model, not a curated record.